GGUCAGCUGACACAUCCUGGCCAAUCUCCAGCAGACCCUCCCUCCCAGACCCUCCUACUUCCUGGACAGCAUCCAUGUUGAAGCAGCUUCAACAUGGAUGCUGUCCAGGAGGUGGGAGGGUCUGGGAGGGAGGGUCUGCCGGAGAUUGGCAGGGAUGUGUCAGCUG
Molecule: microRNA precursor, 166 nt
Filed under: Pelobates cultripes (western spadefoot toad)
Lineage: Eukaryota; Metazoa; Chordata; Amphibia; Anura; Pelobatidae
Source: RNAcentral